ACGAACGCUGGCGGCGUGCUUAACACAUGCAAGUCGAACGGAAGGGCCCUGCUUUUGUGGGGUGCUCGAGUGGCGAACGGGUGAGUAACACGUGAGUAACCUGCCCUUGACUUUGGGAUAACUUCAGGAAACUGGGGCUAAUACCGGAUAGGAGCUCCUGCUGCAUGGUGGGGGUUGGAAAGUUUCGGCGGUUGGGGAUGGACUCGCGGCUUAUCAGCUUGUUGGUGGGGUAGUGGCUUACCAAGGCUUUGACGGGUAGCCGGCCUGAGAGGGUGACCGGCCACAUUGGGACUGAGAUACGGCCCAGACUCCUACGGGAGGCAGCAGUGGGGAAUAUUGCACAAGGGGCGGAAGCCUGAUGCAGCAACGCCGCGUGCGGGAUGACGGCCUUCGGGUUGUAAACCGCUUUCGCCUGUGACGAAGCGUGAGUGACGGUAAUGGGUAAAGAAGCACCGGCUAACUACGU
Molecule: ribosomal RNA, 466 nt
Filed under: uncultured bacterium
Lineage: Bacteria
Description: partial 16S ribosomal RNA
Rfam family: Bacterial small subunit ribosomal RNA
Source: RNAcentral